GCCUCAGCUCCUGGGAUAUGCUGCUGGUCCAACCUGAAAUCCUUCUGUAGGUUGAGUCAGCAACAUAUCCCAUGACUUUUGGGU
This is a microRNA precursor of Cercocebus atys (sooty mangabey), 84 nucleotides long. NCBI's taxonomy places the organism in Eukaryota, Metazoa, Chordata, Mammalia, Primates, Cercopithecidae. The record is from Ensembl.